Molecule: long non-coding RNA, 1882 nt
Filed under: Fragaria vesca (wild strawberry)
Lineage: Eukaryota; Viridiplantae; Streptophyta; Magnoliopsida; Rosales; Rosaceae
Description: long non-coding RNA (FVES_LNC002072)
Source: RNAcentral
AUGCAUUCAGGGUUUAGGGAAUGUUGCUUGAUGCAUCUACAUUGCGUUCACAAACUUUUAGGAUGAUGAUGAUAUCUAUACAAUUUUCAAGACUAUCAAGCUUCAGUCAUAAGCACAAUGGUAUAAAUGUAUCAAAUAUUUGAAACAGACGCAAAAACAAAGCUAUGUCUGCAUUCACAGUUGAUGAUAACACUUCACCGAUUACAAUCCUACAAGAUUAGUCUGAAGACAGAUCUAUACACUUCAAGCCUACUGCCAUCUUUCCUUCAAUCCAGAGCUGCCAACAAACCAAUCCCACUGCCUCCUCCCAACACAACUCUUCGCACAAAAACAAAUCUAUUGUAAUUGACAAAUAUUUCCCUGCGCUGCAUCAUCUGCAUGUCUGGGUACUCAAAAAUUGGCGUGCUGUUUGUGGUACUGUGCUUUUUUCAGCAAUGUUGCUACGCAUACCGGCGGAAAUUGAAGUGAAGCGCAGCCGGAUUAAGUUUGGAGAGGACAAGAACACUAGCUCGUGGGGGGGGGGGGGGGGGGGAGGGGGGUGUACGAGAAGGAUGUGGUUUUGCCUGAUGUGGAUGCAACUUCUUUUAAUAUUUGGGAUCUGGUCAAUUGGAUUAAGGAGCGUGCAAUGGGUAUGUAUGCAUGGCUUAAGGGUGUUCUGAAUCUGUACAAAUGGGCAAGAUGGGUACGCAAAAAUUGGCGUGCUGUUUGUGGUACUGUGCUUUUUUCAGCAAUGUUGCUACGCAUACUGGCGGAUAUACUGACGGAAAUUGAAGUGCAGCGCAGCUGGAUUAAGUUUGGACAUCCAGCAUGUCCUCUCCAAACUUAAUCCAGCUGCGCUUCACUUCAAUUUCCGCCAGUAUAUCCGCCAGUAUGCGUAGCAACAUUGCUGAAAAAAGCACAGUACCACAAACAGCACGCCAAUUUUUGAGUACCCAUCUUGCCCAUUUGUACAGAUUCAGAACACCCUUAAGCCAUGCAUACAUACCCAUUGCACGCUCCUUAAUCCAAUUGACCAGAUCCCAAAUAUUAAAAGAAGUUGCAUCCACAUCAGGCAAAACCACAUCCUUCUCGUACCCCCCCCCCCCCCCCCAGAGCCAGUGUUCUUGUCCUUCCUCUCCUUGACCUCCUCUUUGGUCUUCUCUGUUUUCUUAGAACCCCUAUAACUCGGUCUGGUCCUAACCCGAGGCAGCCUGAAAUACCGGGUCAAGGUGGGAGGCAACCUGAAAUACCGGGUCAGGGUGGGGAGGCAACCUGAUAUUCCGAGUCUGGGUGGGAGGCAACCUGAAAUUCUGGGUCAGGGUGGGAUGUCGAGAAAUGUUACACCAGAACUGAUAAACUGCCCUGCACGAAUAAUAAACAAUAUAUCAAAACUACUAAGAACCCCCACUGGUCAACAUGCAUGCAGAAUACAAAUCAACAGCUGAAAGGAGAGCUGGUAAGGUAGAGACAAAACAAUUCAACUACCUUAAGAAGCCAUCAUCAUCUGCAGGAAUGUCCUCAUUGGCAGUCAAAGCAAAUACUCUUUCAUCCUACAAGAAUAGACAGAGUAAAGAUCAGUUGAAAGUCUACAGAUACCCCUAAAACAAUAUUUUAACACAUCCUAAGGGACAUUUCCCAAUCAUUUGGCAACACAAAAUUGCAACAAAUGAUUUAACAUAAUAACAAAACUAACGAGGCAAGUUUAAUCAGACACAAGGAACUUCAAUCAUACCCAUCAUACAUAUCUUACCUCUAUUCAAUAUUUUGACACAUCCUAAGGAACGUUUUCCAAUCAUUUGGCAUCACAACAUUGCAGCAGAAGAUUUUUCAUAAAAACAAAACUAACGAGGCAAGUUUGACCACAGACAUAAGGAACUUCAAUCAUACAUAUCUUAUCAAGAAU